This 1650-nucleotide long non-coding RNA is filed under the name Scleropages formosus (Asian bonytongue). Its description in RNAcentral is "lncRNA (ENSSFOG00015028687.1)". Lineage: Eukaryota; Metazoa; Chordata; Actinopteri; Osteoglossiformes; Osteoglossidae. The record is from RNAcentral.
GCGGGGAAGGAGCCUGAGCUGGUGCGGGAAGUUGAGAGAUACCGUCUAGAUAUAGUCGGGCUCACUUCCACUCACAGCUUGGGUUCUGGAACCACUCUACUCGAUCGAGGGUGGACUCUCCACUAUUCUGGCGUUGCCCAAGGUGAGAGGCGGCGGGCUGGUGUGGGCUUAUUAAUAGCCCCCCAGUUCAGCCGCCAUGUGUUGGAGUCUACCCCGGUGAAUGAGAGGGUCAUCUCCCUACGCCUUCGGGUCAGGGAACGGUCUCUCACUGUCGUUUGUGCUUAUGCGCCUAGCGGCAGUGUAGAGUACCCGGCCUUUUUAGAGUCCCUGGGGGGCGUGCUGGAAAGCGCUCCCACUGGGGACUCUGUCGUUCUACUGGGGGACUUUAACGCCCACGUGGGCAGCGACAGUGAUACCUGGAGGGGCGUGAUUGGGAGGAACGGCCUCCCUGAUCUGAACCCGAGCGGUGAGUUGUUAUUGGAUUUCUGUGCUAGUCGCGGUUUAUCCAUAACGAACACCAUGUUCAUGCAUAAGGGUGUCCACCAGUGCACUUGGCACCAGGACACCCUGGGUCGGAGGUCGAUGAUCGACUUUGUAGUCGUUUCUUCUGACCUUCGGCCAUAUGUCUUGGACACUCGGGUGAAGAGAGGGGCUGAGCUGUCAACUGAUCACCACCUGGUGGUGAGUUGGAUUCGAUGGCAGGGGAAAAAGCUGGACAGACCUGGCAGGCCCAAACGCAUAGUGAGGGUCUGUUGGGAACGUUUGGCGGAGGCCCCUGUCAGAGAGGUCUUCAACUCCCACCUCCGACAGAGUUUCAACCAGGUCCCGAGGGAGGUGGGGGACAUUGAGUCUGAAUGGACUAUGUUCCGCUCCUCCAUUGUCGGUGCGGCUGUUCGGAGCUGCGGCCAUAAGGUCUCCGGUGCCUGUCGCGGCGGCAAUCCCCGAACACGGUGGUGGACACCGGAAGUAAGGGAUGCCGUCAAGCUGAAGAAGGAGUUCUAUCGGGCCUGGCUGGCUCAUGGGACUCCUGAAGCAGCUGACAGGUACCGACGGGCCAAACGGAGCGCGGCUCUGGCAGUCGCCGCGGCAAAAACUCGGGCUUGGGAGGAGUUCGGCGAGGCCAUGGAGGAAGACUUUCGGUCGGCCUCAAAGAGAUUCUGGCAAACCGUCCGGCGACUCAGAGGGGGGAAGCGGUGUUCCACGAACACUGUUUACAGUGGAAGUGGUGCGCUGCUGACCUCAGCUGAGGAUGUUCUCGGGCGGUGGAAGGAGUACUUUGAGGAUCUCCUCAAUCCCUCCGACACGCCUUCCGUAGAGGAAGCUGAGGCUGGGGACUCGGAGGGGGACUCGUCCAUUACCCUGGCUGAAGUUGCUGAGGUAGUCAAAAAACUCCUCGGUGGCAAGGCUCCGGGGGUGGAUGAGAUCCGCCCCGAGUUUCUCAAGUCUCUGGAUGUUGUGGGGCUGUCUUGGCUGACACGCCUCUGCAGCAUCGCGUGGAGUUCGGGAACGGUGCCUCUGGACUGGCAGACCGGGGUGGUGGUCCCUCUUUUUAAGAAGGGGGACCGGAGAUUGUGUUCCAACUACAGGGGGAUCACACUCCUUAGCCUCCCUGGGAAAGUCUAUGCCAGGGUACUGGAAAGGAGAAUCCGA